RNAcentral lists this ribosomal RNA (490 nucleotides) under uncultured bacterium. Its description in RNAcentral is "partial 16S ribosomal RNA". It matches the Rfam family "Bacterial small subunit ribosomal RNA", at positions 30 to 507 of the family's 1533-position model. The record is from RNAcentral.
AUUGAACGCUGGCGGCAGGCCUAACACAUGCAAGUCGAACGGUAACAGGAAGAAGCUUGCUUCUUUGCUGACGAGUGGCGGACGGGUGAGUAAUGUCUGGGAAACUGCCUGAUGGAGGGGGAUAACUACUGGAAACGGUAGCUAAUACCGCAUAACGUCGCAAGACCAAAGAGGGGGACCUUCGGGCCUCUUGCCAUCGGAUGUGCCCAGACGGGAUUAGCUAGUAGGUGGGGUAACGGCUCACCUAGGCGACGAUCCCUAGCUGGUCUGAGAGGAUGACCAGCCACACUGGAACUGAGACACGGUCCAGACUCCUACGGGAGGCAGCAGUGGGGAAUAUUGCACAAUGGGCGCAAGCCUGAUGCAGCCAUGCCGCGUGUAUGAAGAAGGCCUUCGGGUUGUAAAGUACUUUCAGCGGGGAGGAAGAGAGUAAAGUUAAUACCUUCGCUCAUUGACGUUACCCGCAGAAGAAGCACCGGCUAACUACGUG